GCGGGAGAUUACGCAAAUUAACAUAGAUUGUGCAUCCAAAAAUACUCUGGCCUUAAUAGAGGAGCAGGGCAGCUGUCCCAAGCCCUGACCUUCCCUUGGAUUGCCCUGACUGUACUGUCCCCUGCUCAACAGGAAGGGUGCUAACUUCUACCAAAGGCAAGACAUUGAGUCAGACCUGCAUGAUUUUAUUUAAUCCUCCCCUUAAUUCAGAAAGGAUGUUAGAUGGUGCUGAAAGAUUGAGAUGGCGGGGCAUUGAGAAGAAGGAUGGUUUUUGGUUGAUAAUAGACUUUAUAUUUGUGAAUGUUCACCUUUCCUACAAGGAGCUUCACAUAAGUUGA
RNAcentral lists this long non-coding RNA (338 nucleotides) under Ictidomys tridecemlineatus (thirteen-lined ground squirrel). Its description in RNAcentral is "lncRNA (ENSSTOG00000029994.1)". The record is from RNAcentral. Lineage: Eukaryota; Metazoa; Chordata; Mammalia; Rodentia; Sciuridae.